This 278-nucleotide ribosomal RNA is filed under the name uncultured Akkermansia sp. RNAcentral describes it as "partial 16S ribosomal RNA". It matches the Rfam family "Bacterial small subunit ribosomal RNA", at positions 511 to 788 of the family's 1533-position model. The record is from RNAcentral. Lineage: Bacteria; Pseudomonadati; Verrucomicrobiota; Verrucomicrobiia; Verrucomicrobiales; Akkermansiaceae.
GCCGCCGCGGUAAUACGGGGGAUGCAAGCGUUAUCCGGAUUUAUUGGGUUUAAAGGGUGCGUAGGCGGUCUGGUAAGUCAGCGGUGAAAUUUAGGGGCUCAACCUCUACCGUGCCGUUGAUACUGUCAGGCUAGAAUGCGGAUGCCGUGGGAGGAAUGUGUGGUGUAGCGGUGAAAUGCAUAGAUAUCACACAGAACACCGAUUGCGAAGGCAUCUCACGAAUCCGCAAUUGACGCUGAUGCACGAAAGCGUGGGGAUCAAACAGGAUUAGAUACCCC